GAUGAACGCUAGCGGCAGGCCUAAUACAUGCAAGUCGAACGGGCAGUAGCAAUACUGUUAGUGGCGUACGGGUGCGUAACACGUAAGCAACCUGCCCCCAACUGGGGGACAGUCUUCCGAAAGGGGGCUUAAUCCCGCAUAGUUCUUUUCUGUGGCAUCAGAGGAAAGAUAAAGCGAUAGCGGUUGGGGAGGGGCUUGCGCCGGAUUAGUUAGAUGGUGGGGUAACGGCCCACCAUGACCGUGAUCCGUAGGGGCUCUGAGAGGAGCGGCCCCCACA
This 277-nucleotide ribosomal RNA is filed under the name uncultured bacterium. Its description in RNAcentral is "partial 16S ribosomal RNA". It matches the Rfam family "Bacterial small subunit ribosomal RNA", at positions 28 to 312 of the family's 1533-position model. The record is from RNAcentral.